RNAcentral lists this ribosomal RNA (252 nucleotides) under uncultured bacterium. Its description in RNAcentral is "partial 16S ribosomal RNA". It matches the Rfam family "Bacterial small subunit ribosomal RNA", at positions 524 to 776 of the family's 1533-position model. The record is from RNAcentral.
UACGAAGGGGGCUAGCGUUGCUCGGAAUUACUGGGCGUAAAGCGCACGUAGGCGGCUUUCUAAGUCGGGGGUGAAAUCCUGGAGCUCAACUCCAGAACUGCCUUCGAUACUGGAAGCUCGAGUCCGGAAGAGGUUGGUGGAACAGCUAGUGUAGAGGUGAAAUUCGUAGAUAUUAGCUAGAACACCAGUGGCGAAGGCGGCCAACUGGUCCGGUACUGACGCUGAGGUGCGAAAGCGUGGGGAGCAAACAGG